GUAAACUGGAAAAACAAAAGUCACGGGCACCAGACCUACCAAUGGCACUGGCGAAGUCAAAUAAGAUAAAAACCCAGGAAAAGCUGGAACCAGACCUGGAAGACUAUACCUCAGCCUUGAAAGCGCUGACCAUGCUCUCCAAAAAAAGGUGCUGGCACCAGACCUGUGAGCAGCAGAGACCACGAGAGGACGGUGACACUGGCAGUCCCAGCAGAGAGAAACCUGGCUGGCUGACGAGCAACCCAGUGAGCAGGGCCAUGCAGGGGAGGGCAGGGAACAGCAGCUGGGCAUGCGGCUGCUUCUUUGUUGCUUCCCGUCUUCCUUGCAGACAAACAACCAGGCAAGGCUGGAACCAGACCUGGAAGACUAUACCUCAGCCUUGACAGCGCUGACCAUGCUCUUCAAAAAAAGGUGCAGGCAACAGACCUGUGAGCAGCAGGGACCACGACAGGAUGGUGACACUGGCAGCCCCAACAGUGAAACCUGGCUGGCAGACGAGCAACCCAGUGAGCAGGGCCAUGCAGGGAAGGGAAGGGAACAACAGCAAAGGUUGCGGUUGCUUCCUUGUUAUUUCCUCUCUACCUUGCAGGUGGAUGUACAGACAU
RNAcentral lists this long non-coding RNA (605 nucleotides) under Phasianus colchicus (ring-necked pheasant). RNAcentral describes it as "lncRNA (ENSPCLG00000012438.1)". The record is from RNAcentral. Lineage: Eukaryota; Metazoa; Chordata; Aves; Galliformes; Phasianidae.